GAUCAUGGCUCAGGAUGAACGCUGGCGGCGUGCCUAAUACAUGCAAGUCGAACGCUUCACAUAUGUGAAGAGUGGCGAACGGGUGAGUAAUACAUAAGUAACCUGGCCUUUACAGGGGGAUAACUGUUGGAAACGAUAGCUAAGACCGCAUAGGUAUCAUAACCGCAUGGAGAUGAUAUGAAAUAUGCUAACGGCAUAGGUAGAGGAUGGGACUUAUGGCGCAUUAG
Molecule: ribosomal RNA, 227 nt
Filed under: uncultured bacterium
Lineage: Bacteria
Description: partial 16S ribosomal RNA
Rfam family: Bacterial small subunit ribosomal RNA
Source: RNAcentral